RNAcentral lists this ribosomal RNA (216 nucleotides) under uncultured bacterium. Its description in RNAcentral is "partial 16S ribosomal RNA". It matches the Rfam family "Bacterial small subunit ribosomal RNA", at positions 15 to 221 of the family's 1533-position model. The record is from RNAcentral.
GAUCCUGGCUCAGGAUGAACGCUAGCUACAGGCUUAACACAUGCAAGUCGAGGGGCAGCAUGGUCUUAGCUUGCUAAGGCCGAUGGCGACCGGCGCACGGGUGAGUAACGCGUAUCCAACCUGCCUUACACUCUUGGACAGCCUUCUGAAAGGAAGAUUAAUACAAGAUGUUAUCAUGAGUAAGCAUUUUCGCAUGAUUAAAGGUACGUUCGGUAG